RNAcentral lists this ribosomal RNA (684 nucleotides) under Triticum aestivum (bread wheat). Its description in RNAcentral is "partial small subunit ribosomal RNA". Lineage: Eukaryota; Viridiplantae; Streptophyta; Magnoliopsida; Poales; Poaceae. The record is from RNAcentral.
AUGGCAAGAGUUGGAGUUACAAAUAUGGAAAGUUACAUCCGGGGUGUUACAAUUUACCCAAGUGGUCAUCCAAUCAGGAGAGGAAGACUGACAAGGAAAUGGUUAGCUGAAGGAUUCGUCAAACAAGACCAUAGACGCAAUGCCCACAGAGUCACCAUUGACAAUUUUGAUGAGCUGGUUGACAGGAGUAUCAUUCAGCCUAUUGACGCCAGCAGCAGCAACAGUGUAGAGGUGAAGAGAUACCAAAUUCCCGGCAUGAUGCUCGGGUUCAUCCUGCACAAGUCCAUGUGUGAGAACUUUGUUACCUUGUUAUAUGAUCAGGAUCCCCUACCCGGGAGUAAUAUCCGGUGGCUUUCUCUGCAUCAUAAAAGGGCAGUAAGGUCCAAAAUGAAUCCAAAGGAUUUACUUCUUGUCCGGUCUUUGACAGUCUUCGGUAAGGCACACACAUCUGUGUUGGACUUUCCCAAGUAUGAACUGAUGCGAGUUUUGGAUCUAGAAGAAUGCGAUGAACACUUGAAGGUCAAGCAUCUCAAGAAGAUAUGCAGCAACCUGUUGCUGCUCAGGUACCUAAGCCUUGGAAGCUCUCUUAAGGUUCUAGUGCUUCCAAAGGAGAUUAAGAAACUUCAAUUCUUGGAGACACUGGAUCUAAGAAGAUCGAACAUAGAGAUUCUGCCUACACAAGUC